Molecule: ribosomal RNA, 519 nt
Filed under: uncultured organism
Description: bacterial SSU rRNA
Rfam family: Bacterial small subunit ribosomal RNA
Source: RNAcentral
ACGGGGGUACAUCAGUGGCAGACGGGUGAGUAACACGUAGGUAACCUGCCCUCGAGAGGGGGAUAACGGGUGGGGAGCGGUCGCUAAGACCCGAUAUAGUCUGAGCUUCGGGAGAAGGUGAGAGGAGAGGCUUCGGUGCUCGGGGAGGGGCCUGCGGCCGAUCAGCUAGUUGGAGAGGUAACGGCUCGCCAAGGCAAUGACGGGUAGGGGGUGUGAGAGCAUGGCCCCCCACACUGGGACUGAGACACGGCCCAGACUCCUAGGGGAGGCAGCAGCAGGGAAUAUUGCGCAAUGGACGGAAGUCUGACGCAGCGACGCCGCGUGGAUGACGAAGGCCUUCGGGUUGUAAAAUCCUUUUCCGGGCGAUGAGGAAGGACACUAGCCUGGGAAAUAAGCGUCGGCUAACUACGUGCCAGCAGCCGCGGAAAGACGUAGGACGCGAGCGUUUAUCCGGAUUAACUGGGCGUAAAGCGCCUGCAGGCGGCCAGGUAAGUCGGUUGUGAAAGCCCCGUGCUCAAC